This 466-nucleotide ribosomal RNA is filed under the name uncultured bacterium. RNAcentral's name for it is "bacterial SSU rRNA". It matches the Rfam family "Bacterial small subunit ribosomal RNA", at positions 916 to 1382 of the family's 1533-position model. The record is from RNAcentral.
GGGGCCCGCACAAGCAGUGGAGUAUGUGGUUUAAUUCGAAGCAACGCGAAGAACCUUUACCAGGGCUUGACAUCCCUUGAAGCAGCUAGAGAUAGCUGUGUCCUUCGGGACAAGGAGACAGGUGGUGCAUGGUUGUCGUCAGCUCGUGUCGUGAGAUGUUGGGUUAAGUCCCGCAACGAGCGCAACCCCUGUGGUUAGUUGCCAGCAAGUAGCGUUGGGCACUCUAGCCAGACUGCCGGUGAUAAAUCGGAGGAAGGUGGGGACGACGUCAAAUCAUCAUGCCCUUUAUGUCCUGGGCUACACACGUACUACAAUGGCCGUUACAACGGGAAGCGAAGGAGCAAUCCGGAGCAAAUCCCUUAAAGGCGGUCCCAGUCCAGAUUGUGGGCUGAAACUCGCCCACAUGAAGGCGGAAUUGCUAGUAAUUGCAGAUCAGCAUGCUGCAGUGAAUACGUUCCCGGGCCUU